UAGAAUUUCUUAUUAUAGUUAUAAUUAUUUUUUAAAAUAUAUUAGAUUAUUACCGAUUAAUCAUAAAUUUUUUAAAUAAUAAUUAUUUAAUGUUAAUAUAAUAUAUAUUUUUACCAAUAAUUCAAAAUGCUAUUAUACGUAAUUGUUUAGUAAUAUUUGAUUAUUAUUAACUAUGAUUAUAAUAAUUAAUCAAAAAUUAAUAAUAUUUUAAUUUAAUUAAUAUCAAAAUUUAUAAUUAAUAAAAUAUUUUUAUUUAAUUCAAAAAAUAAUAGCUAAAUUAAUACAAGAAUUAAUUAAAC
Molecule: long non-coding RNA, 299 nt
Filed under: Ananas comosus (pineapple)
Lineage: Eukaryota; Viridiplantae; Streptophyta; Magnoliopsida; Poales; Bromeliaceae
Description: long non-coding RNA (ACOM_LNC029007)
Source: RNAcentral